GUAGGGUGCAAGCGUUAAUCGGAAUUACUGGGCGUAAAGCGUGCGCAGGCGGACUUUUAAGCCAGAUGUGAAAGCCCCGAGCUUAACUUGGGAAUUGCGUUUGGAACUGGGAGUCUAGAGUCUGUCAGAGGGGGAUGGAAUUCCACGUGUAGCAGUGAAAUGCGUAGAGAUGUGGAGGAACACCGAUGGCGAAGGCAGUCCCCUGGGAUAAGACUGACGCUCAUGCACGAAAGCGUGGGGAGCAAACAGGAUUAGAUACCCUGGUAGUCCACGCCCUAAACGAUGUCUACUAGUUGUUGGGGUAGCAAUACCUCAGUGACGCAGCUAACGCGUGAAGUAGACCGCCUGGGGAGUACGGUCGCAAGAUUAAAACUCAAAGGAAUUGACGGGGGCCGCACAAGCGGUGGAUUAUGUGGAUUAAUUCGAUG
Molecule: ribosomal RNA, 428 nt
Filed under: uncultured bacterium
Lineage: Bacteria
Description: bacterial SSU rRNA
Rfam family: Bacterial small subunit ribosomal RNA
Source: RNAcentral